RNAcentral lists this ribosomal RNA (250 nucleotides) under uncultured bacterium. RNAcentral's name for it is "partial 16S ribosomal RNA". It matches the Rfam family "Bacterial small subunit ribosomal RNA", at positions 525 to 775 of the family's 1533-position model. The record is from RNAcentral.
ACGUAGGUGGCAAGCGUUAUCCGGAAUCAUUGGGCGUAAAGGGUGCGUAGGUGGCGUACUAAGUCUGUAGUAAAAGGCAAUGGCUCAACCAUUGUAAGCUAUGGAAACUGGUAUGCUAGAGUGCAGAAGAGGGCGAUGGAAUUCCAUGUGUAGCGGUAAAAUGCGUAGAUAUAUGGAGGAACACCAGUGGCGAAGGCGGUCGCCUGGUCUGUAACUGACACUGAGGCACGAAAGCGUGGGGAGCAAAUAG